AGAAGAUAAGUUGGCAGCUAUGGUAAGAAUAGAAAGAGAAAACGAAGAGAUAGACAGAAAAAAAGAAAUAGAUAAAAUAAAACAACAAACCACAGAAGAAAUACGAAAAAUAGAAAAAACUAAAAAUAGUAGGAUUGCUGAAUUAGACAAAGAACUACAGAAUUAGACAAAGAACUACAAAUGCUAAAAGAUUUUUAUAAAAAAAGACAGAA
Molecule: long non-coding RNA, 212 nt
Filed under: Capsicum annuum
Lineage: Eukaryota; Viridiplantae; Streptophyta; Magnoliopsida; Solanales; Solanaceae
Description: long non-coding RNA (CANN_LNC008203)
Source: RNAcentral